GUCUACGGCCAUGCCAUGCUGAAUGUGCCUGAUCUUGUCUGAUCUUGGAAGCUAAGCAGGGUCGGGCCUCAUUAGUACUUGGAUAGAAGACCACUUAGGAAUAUCAGGUGCUGUAGGCA
RNAcentral lists this ribosomal RNA (119 nucleotides) under Pteropus alecto (black flying fox). Lineage: Eukaryota; Metazoa; Chordata; Mammalia; Chiroptera; Pteropodidae. The record is from RNAcentral.